Molecule: long non-coding RNA, 1081 nt
Filed under: Equus caballus (horse)
Lineage: Eukaryota; Metazoa; Chordata; Mammalia; Perissodactyla; Equidae
Description: lncRNA (ENSECAG00000051767.1)
Source: RNAcentral
AAGACACAAACAUACAACCUGGCUUCACCAACCUAGAAGUACAGCCACCUCCCAAGUUGUAACCUUCUCUAUCUGGAGCCGUGAGAACGUUACCUCUCUCUAGUUAUUGGAGUUUUGGUUCCAACAUGAUUCCAAGUAUAUAAAAAUUCAGUCUGGAGUGAAGAUAUUUACAACGCAGUUGGUGAAUGCACCAUAAAGGGAUGAAACAUCAUGUGACCAGGUGUACAAUUACAGCUUCCCAGACCAGGUCAUGAAGGGGAGUAAACAUAUGUCAUACCCACCAAAACAGAAAUUUCCAGAACCAUCUCGUUGGACACCAACAUACAAAACUGUGCUCGCUCAGGAUCGUGAAAAUACUCUUUAGCUUUGGGAAAUAACUUGGAAGACUGUGAGAAGGAAAGCCCAUUCUACUGAAUUUUUAAUUCUUUAUCUCAGCACCAUGAUCAAGUCUAAACCCGUUUGCAUGGAAUGCAUCGCCUCUCAAUACUACAACCUAACUUUCUAGCUUUCCUUCCUGCAGCUUCUCCCACAGCUCAUUCUUCUAGUCUAGCUAAACUUUUCUCUAUUCCUGUAACAGACCGUGCUUUAAAUGUGUAAGUCAUUGUCCAUGCUGUUGAUCCCAUCUGGAAUACCACAUCCCUUCAUGAAUGCCUGCUAAACUCCAAUUCAUCUUCUAAGUCUCUGAAUAAAUAUCUUCUUUGAAAUCUUGUGAUUCUCUCCUCAGAACUAUCUCUGGGUUCUCUCAGUUCCCUUGGCAUGUUAUACAUACCUUCUUUGUAGCAUUUAUCACACUGUAUUUUCCUUACUUGUUCUCAUGUCCAAGUAGCUCAGGAUCAGAGACAGUGUUGUAUGCAAUUUUAAAUACUCAGGAUCUAUCAUUAUUAUGCCUGGAGUGUAUUAGGCCCUCAAUAUGCUUUUACUAUACAAAUGAUCAGCAUAUCUAAUGCCUUUUUCCAAUGCUAUUUUAUUGAGCUAAGUUUUAAUAGCUGAUAGAUCUACUAAGGUCAUAAUCUUAAAUAUAUUAUAAAUACAUUAGGACAAGUCAUCUAUGUUAUGUGCUAAAACGAGUAAUGUUAGCUUU